This 497-nucleotide ribosomal RNA is filed under the name uncultured bacterium. RNAcentral describes it as "partial 16S ribosomal RNA". It matches the Rfam family "Bacterial small subunit ribosomal RNA", at positions 28 to 507 of the family's 1533-position model. The record is from RNAcentral.
GAUGAACGCUGGCGGCGUGCCUAAUACAUGCAAGUCGAGCGAACAGACGAGGAGCUUGCUCCUUCGACGUUAGCGGCGGACGGGUGAGUAACACGUAGGUAACCUACCUAUAAGACUGGGAUAACUUCGGGAAACCGGAGCUAAUACCGGAUAAUAUUUCGAACCGCAUGGUUCGAUAGUGAAGGAUGGCUUUGCUAUCACUUAUAGAUGGACCUGCGCCGUAUUAGCUAGUUGGUAAGGUAACGGCUUACCAAGGCAACGAUACGUAGCCGACCUGAGAGGGUGAUCGGCCACACUGGAACUGAGACACGGUCCAGACUCCUACGGGAGGCAGCAGUAGGGAAUCUUCCGCAAUGGGCGAAAGCCUGACGGAGCAACGCCGCGUGAGUGAUGAAGGUCUUCGGAUCGUAAAACUCUGUUAUUAGGGAAGAACAAACGUGUAAGUAACUGUGCACGUCUUGACGGUACCUAAUCAGAAAGCCACGGCUAACUACGUG